Non-coding RNA from Misgurnus anguillicaudatus (oriental weatherfish), 414 nucleotides. NCBI's taxonomy places the organism in Eukaryota, Metazoa, Chordata, Actinopteri, Cypriniformes, Cobitidae. The record is from RefSeq and is a predicted model, not a curated record.
UGCUAACACAUUCCUGGCCAGAAUAACAUUUCGUACUCUAAAGGCCACUUCACACUGGUCAGACAGACUCCAACAGACGCAUUGUCUCCUCUUUGCAGGCCAUCCAUCAAUGAUCAUCUAUCUGAGCUGCUGAAAACUGCCUCGGUACGGAUCUGUUGCAGCUUUGUGUCACUGACUGUAUUUCUGCAAAUUCCUGUUCCGUGUCACAUGGCUUAUGCAAGACUGAAUCCAUGAAGAUGUUGUAACCAUAAAGCAACCAGGACAACACACCUGGAGUGACCGAGAGCAGGAUGAAGAGAAUCGGAUGAGAAAAUAUCAACUGGUGCCCAUGAGGAGACAUUGUUCUUGGACCUGCUUUUUCUGUUUAGUAAUAAGUGGUUUUAUGUGGUUAAAUAAAAGUAAUUUAAUAUUCAA